RNAcentral lists this ribosomal RNA (484 nucleotides) under uncultured bacterium. RNAcentral's name for it is "partial 16S ribosomal RNA". It matches the Rfam family "Bacterial small subunit ribosomal RNA", at positions 30 to 507 of the family's 1533-position model. The record is from RNAcentral.
AUUGAACGCUAGCGGGAUGCUUUACACAUGCAAGUCGAACGGCAGCGCGGACUUCGGUCUGGCGGCGAGUGGCGAACGGGUGAGUAAUGUAUCGGAACGUGCCCAGUAGCGGGGGAUAACUACGCGAAAGCGUAGCUAAUACCGCAUACGCCCUACGGGGGAAAGCAGGGGAUCGUAAGACCUUGCACUAUUGGAGCGGCCGAUAUGGGAUUGGCUAGUUGGUGAGGUAACGGCUCACCAAGGCGACGAUCCGUAGCUGGUUUGAGAGGACGACCAGCCACACUGGGACUGAGACACGGCCCAGACUCCUACGGGAGGCAGCAGUGGGGAAUUUUGGACAAUGGGGGCAACCCUGAUCCAGCCAUCCCGCGUGUGCGAUGAAGGCCUUCGGGUUGUAAAGCACUUUUGGCAGGAAAGAAACGUCGCGGGCUAAUACCCCGUGGAACUGACGGUACCUGCAGAAUAAGCACCGGCUAACUACGUG